GGAUUGUUAGCUCAGUUGGUUUAGAGCGCUGCCUCGACAAGGCAGAGGUCACUGGUUCGAGCCCAGUACGGUCCAC
RNAcentral lists this transfer RNA (76 nucleotides) under Bacteroidia bacterium. Its description in RNAcentral is "tRNA-Val". It matches the Rfam family "tRNA". From Rfam's summary of the family: Transfer RNA (tRNA) molecules are approximately 80 nucleotides in length. Their secondary structure includes four short double-helical elements and three loops (D, anti-codon, and T loops). The record is from RNAcentral. Lineage: Bacteria; Pseudomonadati; Bacteroidota; Bacteroidia.